AGGACGAACGCUGGCGGCGUGCUUAACACAUGCAAGUCGAGCGGAAAGGCCUUUCGGGGUACUCGAGCGGCGAACGGGUGAGUAACACGUGAGUAAUCUGCCCAUCGCUUCAGGAUAGCCAUCGGAAACGGUGAUUAAUACUGGAUAUGACAUUCCUUCGCAUGUUGGGGUGUGGAAAGUUUUUUCGGCGGUGGAUGUGCUCGCGGCCUAUCAGCUUGUUGGUGGGGUAAUGGCCUACCAAGGCUUUGACGGGUAGCCGGCCUGAGAGGGUGACCGGCCACACUGGGACUGAGACACGGCCCAGACUCCUACGGGAGGCAGCAGUGGGGAAUAUUGGACAAUGGGCGGAAGCCUGAUCCAGCAACGCCGCGUGAGGAUGAAGGCCCUCGGGUCGUAAACUUCUUUUAGGGAGAAGAGAAAGGACGGUAUCCCCUGAAUAAGCCACGGCAAACUACGUGCCAGCAGCCGC
This 469-nucleotide ribosomal RNA is filed under the name uncultured soil bacterium. RNAcentral describes it as "bacterial SSU rRNA". It matches the Rfam family "Bacterial small subunit ribosomal RNA", at positions 26 to 518 of the family's 1533-position model. The record is from RNAcentral.